GGUGGCUCAGUGGUAGAGCACUUGCCUUGCAUGCUCAAGGCCCUGGGUUCGAUUCCCCAGCACCA
This 65-nucleotide transfer RNA is filed under the name Dipodomys ordii (Ord's kangaroo rat). It matches the Rfam family "tRNA". From Rfam's summary of the family: Transfer RNA (tRNA) molecules are approximately 80 nucleotides in length. Their secondary structure includes four short double-helical elements and three loops (D, anti-codon, and T loops). The record is from Rfam by way of RNAcentral. Lineage: Eukaryota; Metazoa; Chordata; Mammalia; Rodentia; Heteromyidae.